GGAUCAUUACUGAGUUAUACAACUCCAACCCAUGUGAACUAUACUAUUGUUGCCUCGGCGGGGGGACGCCUACCCGGUACCUACCCUGUAGGCCGGCCCCGCCGGCGGAUUAUCAAACUCUUGUUUCUUUGUGGCACAUCUGAGUAACAUUUUGAAAUAAGUCAAAACUUUCAACAACGGAUCUCUUGGUUCUGGCAUCGAUGAAGAACGCAGCGAAAUGCGAUAAGUAAUGUGAAUUGCAGAAUUCAGUGAAUCAUCGAAUCUUUGAACGCACAUUGCGCCCAUUAGUAUUCUAGUGGGCAUGCCUGUUCGAGCGUCAUUACGACCCUUACGCCCUAGUUGCGUAGUGUUGGGAACCUUACCGCCCCUCGGGCGGUAAUUCCCCAAAGUCAGUUGGCAGAGUUGUGGCAUACUCUGAGCGUAGUAAUUCUUUUUCUCGCUCCUGAAGGUGUCGCGGCGAUCGCCAUAAAACCCCUAAUUUUCUAGUGGUUGACCUCGGAUCAGGUAGGAAUACCCGCUGAACUUAAGCAUAUCAAUAAGCGGAGGAAAAGAAACCAACAGGGAUUGCCUCAGUAACGGCGAGUGAAGCGGCAACAGCUCAAAUUUGAAAUCUGGCCUUCUGGUCCGAAUUGUAAUUUGUAGAGGAUGCUUUUGGUGCGGUACCUUCCGAGUUCCCUGGAACGGGACGCCUUAGAGGGUGAGAGCCCCGUACGGUUGGAUACCUAGCCUCUGUAUAGCUCCUUCGACGAGUCGAGUAGUUUGGGAAUGCUGCUCUAAAUGGGAGGUAAAUUUCUUCUAAAGCUAAAUACCGGCCAGAGACCGAUAGCGCACAAGUAGAGUGAUCGAAAGAUGAAAAGUACUUUGAAAAGAGGGUUAAAUAGUACGUGAAAUUGUUGAAAGGGAAGCGCUUAUGACCAGACCUUUGCCUGGCGGAUCAUCCGGUGUUCUCACCGGUGCACUUCGCCAGGUUGAGGCCAGCGUCGGUUCUUGGAGGGGGACAAAGGCUUCGGGAAUGUGACUCCUCUCGGGGAGUGUUAUAGCCCGUUGCGUAAUACCCUUCCGGGGACCGAGGUACGC
This 1077-nucleotide ribosomal RNA is filed under the name Xylariomycetidae sp. ARIZ FL1780. Its description in RNAcentral is "eukaryotic LSU rRNA". The stretch from base 491 to 1077 matches the Rfam family "Eukaryotic large subunit ribosomal RNA", at positions 1 to 598 of the family's 3401-position model. Lineage: Eukaryota; Fungi; Ascomycota; Sordariomycetes. The record is from RNAcentral.